RNAcentral lists this ribosomal RNA (255 nucleotides) under uncultured Acidovorax sp. RNAcentral describes it as "partial 16S ribosomal RNA". It matches the Rfam family "Bacterial small subunit ribosomal RNA", at positions 1130 to 1382 of the family's 1533-position model. Lineage: Bacteria; Pseudomonadati; Pseudomonadota; Betaproteobacteria; Burkholderiales; Comamonadaceae. The record is from RNAcentral.
GUUGGGCACUCUAAUGGGAACUGCCGGUGACAAACCGGAGGAAGGUGGGGAUGACGUCAAGUCCUCAUGGCCCUUAUAGGUGGGGCUACACACGUCAUACAAUGGAUGGUACAAAGGGUCGCCAACCCGCGAGGGGGAGCCAAUCCCAUAAAGCCAUUCGUAGUCCGGAUCGCAGUCUGCAACUCGACUGCGUGAAGUCGGAAUCGCUAGUAAUCGUGGAUCAGAAUGUCACGGUGAAUACGUUCCCGGGUCCUU